Molecule: ribosomal RNA, 835 nt
Filed under: Klebsiella pneumoniae
Lineage: Bacteria; Pseudomonadati; Pseudomonadota; Gammaproteobacteria; Enterobacterales; Enterobacteriaceae
Description: partial 23S ribosomal RNA
Rfam family: Bacterial large subunit ribosomal RNA
Source: RNAcentral
UGUUUCGGCUAGGGGGUCAUCCCGACUUACCAACCCGAUGCAAACUACGAAUACCGAAGAAUGUUAUCACGGGAGACACACGGCGGGUGCUAACGUCCGUCGUGAAGAGGGAAACAACCCAGACCGCCAGCUAAGGUCCCAAAGUCAUGGUUAAGUGGGAAACGAUGUGGGAAGGCACAGACAGCCAGGAUGUUGGCUUAGAAGCAGCCAUCAUUUAAAGAAAGCGUAAUAGCUCACUGGUCGAGUCGGCCUGCGCGGAAGAUGUAACGGGGCUAAACCAUGCACCGAAGCUGCGGCAGCGACACUAUGUGUUGUUGGGUAGGGGAGCGUUCUGUAAGCCUGCGAAGGUGUGCUGUGAGGCAUGCUGGAGGUAUCAGAAGUGCGAAUGCUGACAUAAGUAACGAUAAAGCGGGUGAAAAGCCCGCUCGCCGGAAGACCAAGGGUUCCUGUCCAACGUUAAUCGGGGCAGGGUGAGUCGACCCCUAAGGCGAGGCCGAAAGGCGUAGUCGAUGGGAAACAGGUUAAUAUUCCUGUACUUGGUGUUACUGCGAAGGGGGGACGGAGAAGGCUAUGUUAGCCGGGCGACGGUUGUCCCGGUUUAAGCAUGUAGGCUGGUUGUCCAGGCAAAUCCGGAUAAUCAAGGCUGAGGUGUGAUGACGAGGCACUACGGUGCUGAAGUAACAAAUGCCCUGCUUCCAGGAAAAGCCUCUAAGCAUCAGGUAACAUUAAAUCGUACCCCAAACCGACACAGGUGGUCAGGUAGAGAAUACCAAGGCGCUUGAGAGAACUCGGGUGAAGGAACUAGGCAAAAUGGUGCCGUAACUUCGGGAGAAGG